CCCUUAGAUGUUCUGGGCCGCACACGCGCUACACUGAAGGAGGCAGCGUGUACUCCUGGAUCGAAAGAUUUGGGUAACCCGCGAAUCUCCUUCGUGCUAGGGAUUGAGGUUUGCAAUUAUCCUUCAUGAACGAGGAAUUCCCAGUAAGUGCAAGUCAUAAGCUUGCGCUGACUACGUCCCUGCCCUUUGUACACACCGCCCGUCGCUACUACCGAUUGAAUGAUUUAGUGAGGACUUCGGACUGGGACCGAUGCGGCUUUCGGGCUGCGUCGGUAUUCUGGAAAGAUGUCCAAACUGUAUCAUUUAGAGGAAGUAAAAGUCGUCACA
This 327-nucleotide ribosomal RNA is filed under the name uncultured eukaryote. RNAcentral's name for it is "partial 18S ribosomal RNA". It matches the Rfam family "Eukaryotic small subunit ribosomal RNA", at positions 1470 to 1796 of the family's 1831-position model. The record is from RNAcentral.